UACAGAGGGGGCAAGCGUUGUUCGGAAUUACUGGGCGUAAAGGGCGCGUAGGCGGCCUUCUAAGUCGAACGUGAAAUCCCCGGGCUCAACCCGGGAACUGCGUCCGAUACUGGAAGGCUUGAAUCCGGGAGAGGGAUGCGGAAUUCCAGGUGUAGCGGUGAGAUGCGUAGAUAUCUGGAGGAACACCGGUGGCGAAGGCGGCAUCCUGGACCGGUAUUGACGCUGAGGCGCGAAAGCCAGGGGAGCAAACGGG
This 253-nucleotide ribosomal RNA is filed under the name uncultured bacterium. RNAcentral describes it as "partial 16S ribosomal RNA". It matches the Rfam family "Bacterial small subunit ribosomal RNA", at positions 524 to 776 of the family's 1533-position model. The record is from RNAcentral.